Molecule: ribosomal RNA, 465 nt
Filed under: uncultured bacterium
Lineage: Bacteria
Description: partial 16S ribosomal RNA
Rfam family: Bacterial small subunit ribosomal RNA
Source: RNAcentral
CCUACGGGAGGCAGCAGUAGGGAAUCUUCCACAAUGGGCGAAAGCCUGAUGGAGCAACGCCGCGUGGGUGACGAAGGUCUUCGGAUCGUAACACCCUGUUGUUAGAGACGAAAGUGCGUGAGAGUAACUGUUCACGUUUCGACGGUAUCUAACCAGAACGCCCCGGCUAACUACGUGCCAGCAGCCGCGGUAAUCCGUAGGUGGCAAGCGUUAUCCGGAUUUAUUGGGCGUAAAGGGAACGCAGGCGGUCUUUUAAGUCUGAUGUGAAAGCCUGCGGCUUAACCGGAGUAGUGCAUUGGAAACGGGGAGACUUGAGUGCAGAAGAGGAGAGUAGAACUCCAUGUGUAGCGGUGAAAUGCGUAGAUAUAUGGAAGAACACCAGUGGCGAAAGCGGCUCUCUGGACGGUAACUGACGCUGAGGUUCGAAAGCGUGGGUAGCAAACAGGAUUAGAUACCCUUGUAGUC